RNAcentral lists this ribosomal RNA (384 nucleotides) under uncultured bacterium. Its description in RNAcentral is "bacterial SSU rRNA". It matches the Rfam family "Bacterial small subunit ribosomal RNA", at positions 28 to 414 of the family's 1533-position model. The record is from RNAcentral.
GACGAACGCUGGCGGCGUGCUUAACACAUGCAAGUCGAGCGGUAAGGCCCUUUCGGGGGUACACGAGCGGCGAACGGGUGAGUAACACGUGGGUGACCUGCCCUCAGCUCUGGGAUAAGCCUGGGAAACCGGGUCUAAUACUGGAUAUGACUCCAUGACGCAUGUUGUGGGGUGGAAAGCCUUGUGCGGCUGAGGAUGGGCCCGCGGCCUAUCAGCUUGUUGGUGGGGUGAGGCCUACCAAGGCGACGACGGGUAGCCGGCCUGAGAGGGCGACCGGCCACACUGGGACUGAGACACGGCCCAGACUCCUACGGGAGGCAGCAGUGGGGAAUCUUGCACAAUGGACGAAAGUCUGAUGCAGCGACGCCGCGUGUGGGAUGAAUG